UAAUGUAUCGGAACGUGCCCAGUCGUGGGGGGUAACUGCUCGAAAGAGCAGCUAAUACCGCAUACGACCUGAGGGUGAAAGCGGGGGAUCGCAAGACCUCGCGCGAUUGGAGCGGCCGAUAUCAGAUUAGGUAGUUGGUGAGGUAAAGGCUCACCAAGCCGACGAUCUAUAGCUGGUCUGAGAGGACGACCAGCCACACUGGGACUGAGACACGGCCCAG
RNAcentral lists this ribosomal RNA (220 nucleotides) under uncultured bacterium. RNAcentral describes it as "partial 16S ribosomal RNA". It matches the Rfam family "Bacterial small subunit ribosomal RNA", at positions 111 to 334 of the family's 1533-position model. The record is from RNAcentral.